UGUUCCUACGGGGGGCAGCAGUAGGGAAUCUUCCACAAUGGACGAAAGUCUGAUGGAGCAACGCCGCGUGAGUGAAGAAGGGUUUCGGCUCGUAAAGCUCUGUUGGUAGUGAAGAAAGAUAGAGGUAGUAACUGGCCUUUAUUUGACGGUAAUUACUUAGAAAGUCAAGGCUAAAUACGUGCCAGCAGCCGCGGUAAUAAGUAGGUGGCAAGCGUUGUUCGGAUUUAUUGGGCGUAAAGCG
RNAcentral lists this ribosomal RNA (241 nucleotides) under uncultured bacterium. RNAcentral describes it as "partial 16S ribosomal RNA". It matches the Rfam family "Bacterial small subunit ribosomal RNA", at positions 334 to 567 of the family's 1533-position model. The record is from RNAcentral.